Molecule: ribosomal RNA, 254 nt
Filed under: uncultured bacterium
Lineage: Bacteria
Description: partial 16S ribosomal RNA
Rfam family: Bacterial small subunit ribosomal RNA
Source: RNAcentral
UACGUAGGGGGGCUAGCGUUGUCCGGAAUCAUUGGGCGUAAAGAGCGUGUAGGCGGUCCGGUAAGUCCGCUGUGAAAGUCGGGGGCUCAACCCUCGGAUGCCGGUGGAUACUGCCGGGCUAGAGUACGGAAGAGGCGAGUGGAAUUCCUGGUGUAGCGGUGAAAUGCGCAGAUAUCAGGAGGAACACCAAUUGCGAAGGCAGCUCGCUGGGACGUUACUGACGCUGAGACGCGAAAGCGUGGGGAGCAAACAGG